RNAcentral lists this ribosomal RNA (519 nucleotides) under Streptomyces sp. BAM4. Its description in RNAcentral is "bacterial SSU rRNA". It matches the Rfam family "Bacterial small subunit ribosomal RNA", at positions 374 to 901 of the family's 1533-position model. Lineage: Bacteria; Bacillati; Actinomycetota; Actinomycetes; Kitasatosporales; Streptomycetaceae. The record is from RNAcentral.
GGCGAAAGCCUGGAUGCAGCGACGCCGCGGUGAGGGAUGACGGCCUUCGGGUUGUAAACCUCUUUCAGCAGGGAAGAAGCGAAAGUGACGGUACCUGCAGAAGAAGCGCCGGCUAACUACGUGCCAGCAGCCGCGGUAAUACGUAGGGCGCAAGCGUUGUCCGGAAUUAUUGGGCGUAAAGAGCUCGUAGGCGGCUUGUCACGUCGGGUGUGAAAGCCCGGGGCUUAACCCCGGGUCUGCAUCCGAUACGGGCAGGCUAGAGUGUGGUAGGGGAGAUCGGAAUUCCUGGUGUAGCGGUGAAAUGCGCAGAUAUCAGGAGGAACACCGGUGGCGAAGGCGGAUCUCUGGGCCAUUACUGACGCUGAGGAGCGAAAGCGUGGGGAGCGAACAGGAUUAGAUACCCUGGUAGUCCACGCCGUAAACGUUGGGAACUAGGUGUUGGCGACAUUCCACGUCGUCGGUGCCGCAGCUAACGCAUUAAGUUCCCCGCCUGGGGAGUACGGCCGCAAGGCUAAAACU